This 493-nucleotide ribosomal RNA is filed under the name Microlophus occipitalis. RNAcentral's name for it is "partial 16S ribosomal RNA". It matches the Rfam family "Bacterial large subunit ribosomal RNA", at positions 1851 to 2589 of the family's 2925-position model. Lineage: Eukaryota; Metazoa; Chordata; Lepidosauria; Squamata; Tropiduridae. The record is from RNAcentral.
GGUAACGCCUGCCCAGUGAAUCUUUAACGGCCGCGGUAUCCUAACCGUGCAAAGGUAGCGUAAUCACUCGUCCUCUAAAUAGGGACCAGUAUGAACGGCUAAAUGAGGACCAAACUGUCUCUUCUAAUCUAUCGAUGAAACUGAUCUCUCAGUACAAAAGCUGAUAUAUACCCAUAAGACGAGAAGACCCUGUGGAGCUUCAAAUCUAAAUCAACACAAGAUUACUAACAAUCACACACUGAUUUAACGAUUUUUAGUUGGGGCGACUUCGGAACAAAAAACAACUUCCGAGCACAAGAUUUAUUCUCAUUAAGACUAACAAGUCAAAACAACAUUUGACCCAGUCACACUGACCAACGAACCAAGUUACCCCAGGGAUAACAGCGCAAUCUUCUUCAAGAGUCCAUAUCGACAAGAAGGUUUACGACCUCGAUGUUGGAUCAGGACACCCAAUUGGUGCAGCCGCUAUUAAAGGUUCGUUUGUUCAACGAUU